UAGCCAGUGAAGAGCAUGAAGCCA
RNAcentral lists this non-coding RNA (24 nucleotides) under Mus musculus (house mouse). Lineage: Eukaryota; Metazoa; Chordata; Mammalia; Rodentia; Muridae. The record is from RNAcentral.